This 441-nucleotide ribosomal RNA is filed under the name uncultured bacterium. RNAcentral describes it as "partial 16S ribosomal RNA". It matches the Rfam family "Bacterial small subunit ribosomal RNA", at positions 338 to 795 of the family's 1533-position model. The record is from RNAcentral.
CCUACGGGCGGCAGCAGUGGGGGAUAUUGCACAAUGGGGGGAACCCUGAUGCAGCGACGCCGCGUGGGUGAAGGAGUGCUUCGGCAUGUAAAGCCCUAUCGGCAGGGAAGAAGCAAGACGGUACCUGACUAAGAAGCCCCGGCUAACUACGUGCCAGCAGCCGCGGUAAUACGUAGGGGGCGAGCGUUAUCCGGAUUCACUGGGUGUAAAGGGAGCGUAGACGGCCAAGCAAGCCAGGGGUGAAAGCCCGGGGCCCAACCCCGGGACUGCCCUUGGAACUGCAUGGCUGGAGUGCGGGAGGGGCAGGCGGAAUUCCUGGUGUAGCGGUGAAAUGCGUAGAGAUCAGGAGGAACACCGGCGGCGAAGGCGGCCUGCUGGGUCGAUACUGACAUUGAGGCACGAAAGCGUGGGGAGCAAACAGGAUUAGAUACCCCAGUAGUC